CAGGUAGUUGGCGGGGUAACGGCCCACCGAGCCUGCGAUCAGUAACUGGUGUGAGAGCACGACCAGUCACACGGGCACUGAGACACGGGCCCGACUCCUACGGGAGGCAGCAGUAAGGAAUAUUGGUCAAUGGACGCAAGUCUGAACCAGCCAUGCCGCGUGGAGGAUUAAGGCCCUCUGGGUUGUAAACUCCUUUUAUCUGGGAAGAAAUCCAUAUAUUCUUAUAUGGUUGACGGUACCAGAGGAAUAAGCACCGGCUAACUCCGUGCCAGCAGCCGCGGUAAUACGGAGGGUGCAAGCGUUAUCCGGAUUCACUGGGUUUAAAGGGUGCGUAGGCGGGUAAGUAAGUCCGUGGUGAAAUCUCUGAGCUUAACUCAGAAACUGCCGUGGAUACUAUUUGCCUUGAAUAUUGUGGAGGUGAGCGGAAUAUGUCAUGUAGCGGUGAAAUGCUUAGAUAUGACAUAGAACACCAAUUGCGAAGGCAGCUCACUACACAAUUAUUGACGCUGAGGCACGAAAGCGUGGGGAUCAAACAGGAUUAGAUA
RNAcentral lists this ribosomal RNA (545 nucleotides) under uncultured Bacteroidota bacterium. RNAcentral describes it as "SSU rRNA". It matches the Rfam family "Bacterial small subunit ribosomal RNA", at positions 242 to 784 of the family's 1533-position model. The record is from RNAcentral. Lineage: Bacteria; Pseudomonadati; Bacteroidota.